GGUUGAUCCUGCCAGUAGUCAUAUGCUUGUCUCAAAGAUUAAGCCAUGCAUGUCUAAGUAUAAGCUUGUUUAUACGGCGAGACUGCGGAUGGCUCAUUAAAUCAGUUAUAGUUUAUUUGAUGGUCUCUUUUGUCUUUUUUUACCUACUUGGAUAACCGUGGUAAUUCUAGAGCUAAUACAUGCGCAAGGUCCCGAGCGCGGGGGGUGGGGCUUCACGGCUCCAUUCUCGCAUGCGCAGAGGGAUGUAUUUAUUAGGUUAAAAACCAGCGUAGUCAGCAAUGGCUACAAACUC
Molecule: ribosomal RNA, 292 nt
Filed under: uncultured eukaryote
Lineage: Eukaryota
Description: partial 18S ribosomal RNA
Rfam family: Eukaryotic small subunit ribosomal RNA
Source: RNAcentral